This 616-nucleotide long non-coding RNA is filed under the name Manihot esculenta (cassava). RNAcentral describes it as "long non-coding RNA (MESC_LNC012522)". Lineage: Eukaryota; Viridiplantae; Streptophyta; Magnoliopsida; Malpighiales; Euphorbiaceae. The record is from RNAcentral.
UUUAAUUCAUGAAAUCUAACUUGAACGUCGGAGGGUCUCCACCGGGGAAUCCCCGGUAGGCCCCUGACCGUUUUUCCUUGUUUUGCAAGUCCUUUCAUCAGAUAGAACAUUGAGAGACCCAUUUGAUGGACCCAUAUGAUGGACCAAGAAGAAAGCCAAUCUAUCAUGGACUAGGAGGAGAAAAAGAUUUAUCAAAUGGCGCCGUCUGUGGGAAACGAAGGAGAUCUUUUCAUCACCGGAGUUCCUAAAUCCACCCAUUGAGAUCCACAUGAAGGUAUGAAAGCUUAUGCGAAAAGAAAGCUGGAGAUUUACAAUAACCCAGCUGAAUAACCUAGCUGAAAAGAAAGAUCCAGCUGGUUCAAGAAUAUCUUGAUAGUCUUUUAGAUAGUUUAUUUUAACAUUUAUUGAAUUUUAUUACUACUAACCUUUUCUUUGAGAUCUGACGAAGUGAAACUUCAGAUGAUGUGUAUAUUUAUUGAAAUUGUGAGGUCGGCCGUGUAUAUGUUGUAAAUGUGAGAUGUGCAGGUCGGCUGUAAAGUCCCAGAUCAGCAAGUUAGAGAAAAAAUUAAUAAAUAAAAAUAAGCGAGGUCGGACUAGCAUUUCAGGUCGAGUAGGG